Molecule: long non-coding RNA, 849 nt
Organism: Artibeus jamaicensis (Jamaican fruit-eating bat)
Lineage: Eukaryota; Metazoa; Chordata; Mammalia; Chiroptera; Phyllostomidae
Exons: 4
Source: RefSeq, a predicted model, not a curated record
GGCCCAUAUCCAUCCUGAAGCAUGGGGAUAAACACAGAGUGCAGGCCUUCGUACGUGGCACUUAACGGAGGAGGAAGACCAGUGAACAAGUGCCAAUAUUAUGCUGUCUACAGUAUUACAGAGGGCGCAGCCACACAGGUUCUUGCAAACGGCAGGCAACAUCGUGAACCUCUGCUUCAUACUGAGGAAGCUAAACCAGAUCUGAAGACGCUCUACAGGAGUUUUGAGCAGUGAGUCAUCCUCAGGUCCUUUUGUGAAAAGUGGGAGCUUUAAGGGAAUAGUCAAGUUAUUUGUUGGCAUGUGUUGGAAAUAUCGUGACUACACAGGGAAGGAAAACCCAAGAAGGGAAAAUGUGAAGAUCUAAAUACUGAAACUGGCUUCCUAAAAUGAAGAGAAAACAAUGGGAUUGCUGAUUAUAAUGACUAGCUAGGGCUCCAUAAGGAUCUGCCCUCAGGACUGCAGGAUGGGGCUCUUUGCCCCUGGACUUGUUUUUCAACCUGCUUGCUCAGGUGGGUGGCGUUGAGGUGGUGACCUUUCCCUGUGCCCUCCAAAACCAUUUUGUCCUUCUUCCAACGUUGCACAAACUCCUGUCAUGACAUCAAGUGUGUGUUUUUUCUCCCAAUACAGUGCAAGCUUCUUUGUGCUUCCCCUGAGUCCAAAGCAGUGCUUAGCACCUAUGAAGCUCUCAACCAAUGUGUCUGCUGAAUGAAAUGGAAUUGAUCUGAACUAGAUUUUAAUGACAAACUAUAACUAAUUCUCAUAGGCAUCUCUCAGAAUGAUAUUAUCCAGACUACACAAAACAACUGAACGCUUAAGCAAUGAAAUGCCAAUUUUAAAUAAAUACAUGCG